UUCGUACGAAAGUUUGGAUUCGAAUGAGUUCGAAAAUGCCAUUCUUGUUUACGUACAAAGGCCGUACGAAUCCAUUCGUAUCCCGUACGAAUGCGAUACGUAUGCGAAAAGGGUGGAUGUCUAUGCAAAAAUGGUUGAUGUCUAGACUUAAGGGUUAGAAAAAGUUUAAACGUCAGGAGAGAAAUGUCAAGUGUGUCAAGCCGAUUGAGCGAGGCUCCUGACGGCAAACAGUUUUUCACUGGAUGAAAAUUAAAUAUUUUUUUAUUAUAAUUUGCAUCAUAAAAAUACCUUGUUCUUAAAAAUAUCGUCGGUAAACGUAAGCAUAUAACACAAGUUAAACGCGGCUAUUAAAACUUUCAUUUUCGGAAUGAAAUUUAUUUGGCGAAAUAUGAAAUUGGAACCAAAUUUACAAACUCCGUUGCAAAAACAUAAGCGCGUCAUGGGUCUGCAUGAUGCAAUAAAACUUGUAUGUUUACAUUUUGUAAUCAUCUCGAACAGUAUUUCUUAGCAAGCUUACUCGCGUUUUUUGAAGAUUUGUGAUAAAUAAGUAAAUGUGUGGUUAUGUGCGAUUCUGCGGACAUGGAUUCUGAUGCGGCUGGAGUAAUUACAUGCUAUCUAGAAGUGACUGUUUUCGUUAAUGGAUUCGAGUGCUUGUUGCUGUAGAAAAUCAUCAUCAAAAAGCACGGCAUAAUUUAAAAAAGAAGAUUGAUCUGCUUGCCGCACGUGAAUUUAUUCGAUAGGAAAACUGUAAAUUUACCAGAAGAAGCUUGUUUUAGAAUCGGUGUCAACUUUGGCCCUGCGUUUUUGGCCACUUCAUGUUUGUAGGAAUGCGAAUUGUCGAAAUUUGAAUUUGUCCUUAGUGUUGUUCCGAUAAGACAAUCAGCCUGGUCUACAAGCUAUCUAAAUAGCAGAACACACCGGUUAAAGUUAAGCUGAAGCAUCGUACACUAAAGGAGUUGAAGAAGACCAUCAAGGGCAAGCGACACAAACGGGACUUCCGUCAGAUUACCCUGCGUGGUGCUAGUGAUAUUAGGCGAC
Molecule: long non-coding RNA, 1038 nt
Organism: Wyeomyia smithii (pitcher-plant mosquito)
Lineage: Eukaryota; Metazoa; Arthropoda; Insecta; Diptera; Culicidae
Exons: 3
Source: RefSeq, a predicted model, not a curated record